RNAcentral lists this ribosomal RNA (245 nucleotides) under uncultured bacterium. Its description in RNAcentral is "partial 16S ribosomal RNA". It matches the Rfam family "Bacterial small subunit ribosomal RNA", at positions 524 to 768 of the family's 1533-position model. The record is from RNAcentral.
UACGGGGGGAGCGAGCGUUGCCCGGAAUCACUGGGCGUAAAGGGUGUGUAGGUGGAUUUGUAAGUCAAGCGUGAAAUCUUGCGGCUUAACCGCAAAAUUGCGCUUGAAACUGCAUUUCUUGAGUACAGGAGAGGAGAAUGGAAUUUCAGGUGUAGCGGUGAAAUGCGUAGAUAUCUGAAAGAACACCGGUUGCGAAGGCUAUUCUCUAUCCUACUACUGACACUGUGACACGAAAGCUAGGGGAG